CUUAUGUUGUGUGCAUGGAAUAAUGGAAUAGGACCUCGGUUCUAUUUUGUUGGUUUUCGGAAUCUGAGGUAAUGAUCAAUGGGGACAGGCGGGGGCAUUCGUAUUGCGACGUUAGAGGUGAAAUUCUUGGAUCGUCGCAAGACGGACCGAAGCGAAAGCAUUUGCCAAGUAUGUUCUCGUCGAUCAAGAACGAAAGUUAGAGGUUCGAAGGCGAUCAGAUACCGCCCUAGUUCUAACCAUAAACUAUGCCUGCCAGCGAUCCGCCGAAGUUCCUCCGAUGACUCGGCGGGCAGCUUCCGGGAAACCAGAGCUUUUGGGUUCCGGGGGAAGUAUGGUUGCAAAGCUGAAACUUAAAGGAAUUGACGGAAGGGCACCACCAGGAGUGGAGCCUGCGGCUUAAUUUGACUCAACACGGGAAAACUCACCAGGCCCGGACACCGGAAGGAUUGACAGAUUGAGAGCUCUUUCUUGAUUCGGUGGGUGGUGGUGCAUGGCCGUUCUUAGUUGGUGGAGCGAUUUGUCUGGUUAAUUCCGAUAACGAACGAGACUCUAGCCUACUAACUAGGCGUACCCGGUAUCCACAAUCGUGCUACCGGCGAUCAAAUUUCUUCUUAGAGGGACAGGCGGCUUCUAGCCGCACGAGACUGAGCAAUAACAGGUCUGUGAUGCCCUUAGAUGUCCUGGGCCGCACGCGCGCUACACUGAAGGAAUCAGCGUGUCUUCCCUGUCCGAAAGGACCGGGUAAUCCGCUGAACCUCCUUUGUGCUAGGGAUUGGGGCUUGCAAUUGUUCCCCAUGAACGAGGAAUCCCAGAAGCGCAUAUUGGC
RNAcentral lists this ribosomal RNA (826 nucleotides) under Pochazia shantungensis. RNAcentral describes it as "SSU rRNA". It matches the Rfam family "Eukaryotic small subunit ribosomal RNA", at positions 795 to 1632 of the family's 1831-position model. Lineage: Eukaryota; Metazoa; Arthropoda; Insecta; Hemiptera; Ricaniidae. The record is from RNAcentral.